CCUACGGGUGGCAGCAGUGGGGAAUAUUGGACAAUGGGCUAAAGCCUGAUCCAGCCAUGCCGCGUGUGUGAAGAAGGCCUUCGGGUUGUAAAGCACUUUCAGUGGGGAAGAAAGCCUUGGGGCUAAUACCCUCGAGGAAGGACAUCACCCACAGAAGAAGCACCGGCUAACUCCGUGCCAGCAGCCGCGGUAAUACGGAGGGUGCGAGCGUUAAUCGGAAUUACUGGGCGUAAAGCGCGCGUAGGCGGUCUGAUAAGCCGGUUGUGAAAGCCCCGGGCUCAACCUGGGAACGGCAUCCGGAACUGUCAGGCUAGAGUGCAGGAGAGGAAGGUAGAAUUCCCGGUGUAGCGGUGAAAUGCGUAGAGAUCGGGAGGAAUACCAGUGGCGAAGGCGGCCUUCUGGACUGACACUGACGCUGAGGUGCGAAAGCGUGGGUAGCAAACAGGAUUAGAUACCCCUGUAGUC
Molecule: ribosomal RNA, 465 nt
Filed under: Vreelandella stevensii
Lineage: Bacteria; Pseudomonadati; Pseudomonadota; Gammaproteobacteria; Oceanospirillales; Halomonadaceae
Description: partial 16S ribosomal RNA
Rfam family: Bacterial small subunit ribosomal RNA
Source: RNAcentral